This 420-nucleotide ribosomal RNA is filed under the name bacterium. RNAcentral describes it as "partial 16S ribosomal RNA". It matches the Rfam family "Bacterial small subunit ribosomal RNA", at positions 355 to 776 of the family's 1533-position model. The record is from RNAcentral.
UGGGGGAUAUUGCACAAUGGGCGAAAGCCUGAUGCAGCGACGCCGCGUGGGGGAUGAAGGCUUUCGGGUUGUAAACCUCUUUCGCUAUCGAACAAGGCCCGCUUAGGGUGGGUUGAGGGUAGGUGGAGAAGAAGCGCCGGCUAACUACGUGCCAGCAGCCGCGGUAAUACGUAGGGCGCGAGCUUUGUCCGGAAUUAUUGGGCGUAAAGGGCUUGUAGGCGGCUUGUUGCGCCUGCUGUGAAAACGCGGGGCUUAACUUCGCGCGUGCAGUGGGUACGGGCAGGCUUGAGUGUGGUAGGGGUGACUGGAAUUCCAGGUGUAGCGGUGGAAUGCGCAGAUAUCUGGAGGAACACCGAUGGCGAAGGCAGGUCACUGGGCCAUUACUGACGCUGAGGAGCGAAAGCAUGGGUAGCGAACAGG